GCCCGGGUGGUGGAAUUGGUAGACACGCUAUCUUGAGGGGGUAGUGGCCACAAGCCGUGCGGGUUCGAAUCCCGCCCCGGGCACCA
This 86-nucleotide transfer RNA is filed under the name bacterium. RNAcentral's name for it is "tRNA-Leu". It matches the Rfam family "tRNA". From Rfam's summary of the family: Transfer RNA (tRNA) molecules are approximately 80 nucleotides in length. The record is from RNAcentral. RNAcentral also lists the same sequence under 7 other names.